AAUGCUUAAACGCUGAAUCGAUUAAAAAGAGCGGAGGAACCAUGUACGUGGGGUGAAGCAAUUUUUUUGCCAGGCGACCUUUGCCGUCUGAACCCGUCAGCUAACUUCGUAAGCGUGGCAAGGGAGAAGGU
This 131-nucleotide small RNA is filed under the name Fictibacillus macauensis. Its description in RNAcentral is "c-di-AMP sequence". It matches the Rfam family "c-di-AMP riboswitch aptamer (ydaO/yuaA leader)". From Rfam's summary of the family: This family represents a conserved RNA structure found upstream of the ydaO and yuaA genes in Bacillus subtilis and related genes in other bacteria. The ydaO/yuaA element is thought to act as a genetic "off" switch for the ydaO and yuaA genes in its native state. Lineage: Bacteria; Bacillati; Bacillota; Bacilli; Caryophanales; Fictibacillaceae. RNAcentral also lists the same sequence under 1 other name. The record is from RNAcentral.